CUUGCAGGUAGACAGCCAAUAAGGAUUGUGUUAUGAAGAGACCUCAUCAUGUUGUGAAACCCCCAGAGAGCAAACCAGUGGCAAGGAAAAACUCCUUAGAAGGAAGAAACCUUGGGAGGAACCAGACUCAAAGGGGAAGCCCAUCCUCCAAGUGCCGGCACAGGAAGUGAUAUGAGCAAAAUGUCAAGGUGGCAGCAAAGCACGUGUGAAGAAGAGGCCAUCAGCAGUACAAAGCACCGGCUGUACAGGUUCUCAGCAGACAAUCCAAACCUCCUUCAUUAA
This is a long non-coding RNA of Brienomyrus brachyistius, 282 nucleotides long. RefSeq lists it as uncharacterized. The transcript has 3 exons. Lineage: Eukaryota; Metazoa; Chordata; Actinopteri; Osteoglossiformes; Mormyridae. The record is from RefSeq and is a predicted model, not a curated record.